AAGGCGCGCGAUACAGGGUGACAGCCCCGUACACAAAAAUGCACAUGCUGUGAGCUCGAUGAGUAGGGCGGGACACGUGGUAUCCUGUCUGAAUAUGGGGGGACCAUCCUCCAAGGCUAAAUACUCCUGACUGACCGAUAGUGAACCAGUACCGUGAGGGAAAGGCGAAAAGAACCCCGGCGAGGGGAGUGAAAAAGAACCUGAAACCGUGUACGUACAAGCAGUGGGAGCACAGAGCAAUCUGUGUGACUGCGUACCUUUUGUAUAAUGGGUCAGCGACUUAUAUUCUGUAGCAAGGUUAACCGAAUAGGGGAGCCGAAGGGAAACCGAGUCUUAACCGGGCGUUAAGUUGCAGGGUAUAGACCCGAAACCCGGUGAUCUAGCCAUGGGCAGGUUGAAGGUUGGGUAACACUAACUGGAGGACCGAACCGACUAAUGUUGAAAAAUUAGCGGAUGACUUGUGGCUGGGGGUGAAAGGCCAAUCAAACCGGGAGAUAGCUGGUUCUCCCCGAAAGCUAUUUAGGUAGCGCCUCGUGAAUUCAUCUCCGGGGGUAGAGCACUGUUUCGGCAAGGGGGUCAUCCCGACUUACCAACCCGAUGCAAACUGCGAAUACCGGAGAAUGUUAUCACGGGAGACACACGGCGGGUGCUAACGUCCGUCGUGAAGAGGGAAACAACCCAGACCGCCAGCUAAGGUCCCAAAGUCAUGGUUAAGUGGGAAACGAUGUGGGAAGGCCCAGACAGCCAGGAUGUUGGCUUAGAAGCAGCCAUCAUUUAAAGAAAGCGUAAUAGCUCACUGGUCGAGUCGGCCUGCGCGGAAGAUGUAACGGGGCUAAACCAUGCACCGAAGCUGCGGCAGCGACACUGUGUGUUGUUGGGUAGGGGAGCGUUCUGUAAGCCUGUGAAGGUGUGCUGUGAGGCAUGCUGGAGGUAUCAGAAGUGCGAAUGCUGACAUAAGUAACGAUAAAGCGGGUGAAAAGCCCGCUCGCCGGAAGACCAAGGGUUCCUGUCCAACGUUAAUCGGGGCAGGGUGAGUCGACCCCUAAGGCGAGGCCGAAAGGCGUAGUCGAUGGGAAACAGGUUAAUAUUCCUGUACUUGGUGUUACUGCGAAGGGGGGACGGAGAAGGCUAUGUUGGCCGGGCGACGGUUGUCCCGGUUUAAGCGUGUAGGCUGGUUUUCCAGGCAAAUCCGGAAAAUCAAGGCUGAGGCGUGAUGACGAGGCACUACGGUGCUGAAGCAACAAAUGCCCUGCUUCCAGGAAAAGCCUCUAAGCAUCAGGUAACAUCAAAUCGUACCCCAAACCGACACAGGUGGUCAGGUAGAGAAUACCAAGGCGCUUGAGAGAACUCGGGUGAAGGAACUAGGCAAAAUGGUGCCGUAACUUCGGGAGAAGGCACGCUGAUAUGUAGGUGAAGUCCCUCGCGGAUGGAGCUGAAAUCAGUCGAAGAUACCAGCUGGCUGCAACUGUUUAUUAAAAACACAGCACUGUGCAAACACGAAAGUGGACGUAUACGGUGUGACGCCUGCCCGGUGCCGGAAGGUUAAUUGAUGGGGUCAGCGCAAGCGAAGCUCUUGAUCGAAGCCCCGGUAAACGGCGGCCGUAACUAUAACGGUCCUAAGGUAGCGAAAUUCCUUGUCGGGUAAGUUCCGACCUGCACGAAUGGCGUAAUGAUGGCCAGGCUGUCUCCACCCGAGACUCAGUGAAAUUGAACUCGCUGUGAAGAUGCAGUGUACCCGCGGCAAGACGGAAAGACCCCGUGAACCUUUACUAUAGCUUGACACUGAACAUUGAGCCUUGAUGUGUAGGAUAGGUGGGAGGCUUUGAAGUGUGGACGCCAGUCUGCAUGGAGCCGACCUUGAAAUACCACCCUUUAAUGUUUGAUGUUCUAACGUGGACCCGUGAUCCGGGUUGCGGACAGUGUCUGGUGGGUAGUUUGACUGGGGCGGUCUCCUCCUAAAGAGUAACGGAGGAGCACGAAGGUUGGCUAAUCCUGGUCGGACAUCAGGAGGUUAGUGCAAUGGCAUAAGCCAGCUUGACUGCGAGCGUGACGGCGCGAGCAGGUGCGAAAGCAGGUCAUAGUGAUCCGGUGGUUCUGAAUGGAAGGGCCAUCGCUCAACGGAUAAAAGGUACUCCGGGGAUAACAGGCUGAUACCGCCCAAGAGUUCAUAUCGACGGCGGUGUUUGGCACCUCGAUGUCGGCUCAUCACAUCCUGGGGCUGAAGUAGGUCCCAAGGGUAUGGCUGUUCGCCAUUUAAAGUGGUACGCGAGCUGGGUUUAGAACGUCGUGAGACAGUUCGGUCCCUAUCUGCCGUGGGCGCUGGAGAACUGAGGGGGGCUGCUCCUAGUACGAGAGGACCGGAGUGGACGCAUCACUGGUGUUCGGGUUGUCAUGCCAAUGGCACUGCCCGGUAGCUAAAUGCGGAAGAGAUAAGUGCUGAAAGCAUCUAAGCACGAAACUUGCCCCGAGAUGAGUUCUCCCUGACCCUUUAAGGGUCCUGAAGGAACGUUGAAGACGACGACGUUGAUAGGCCGGGUGUGUAAGCGCAGCGAUGCGUUGAGCUAACCGGUACUAAUGAACCGUGAGGCUUAACCUUACAACGCCGAAGGUGUUU
Molecule: ribosomal RNA, 2614 nt
Filed under: Escherichia coli
Lineage: Bacteria; Pseudomonadati; Pseudomonadota; Gammaproteobacteria; Enterobacterales; Enterobacteriaceae
Description: partial 23S ribosomal RNA
Rfam family: Bacterial large subunit ribosomal RNA
Source: RNAcentral